CUCUAUAUUAAAAUAAUAUAAUAUUAGAUUGCAAAUCUGAAGUUGUGAUAAUUCACUGGGGCUUGU
This 66-nucleotide transfer RNA is filed under the name Jonas distinctus. RNAcentral's name for it is "tRNA-Cys". The record is from RNAcentral. Lineage: Eukaryota; Metazoa; Arthropoda; Malacostraca; Decapoda; Corystidae.